Molecule: unclassified non-coding RNA, 263 nt
Filed under: plant metagenome
Description: partial contains small subunit ribosomal RNA, internal transcribed spacer 1, and 5.8S ribosomal RNA
Source: RNAcentral
UUUCCGUAGGUGAACCUGCGGAAGGAUCAUUAUUGUAUAACCGAGGUGCGAGGGCUGUCGCUGACCCGAAAGGUCGUGCACGCCCGAGUGCCCUCACACACAGCCAUCUCACCACUAUGUGCACCACCGCGUGGGUCCCCCUUUGGCUUGUUCGGCGGGGCGCUUACGUUUUCACACAAACUUUGUAUGCAGUGUAGAAUGUAUUUUUUGUUUUUGCGAUCACGCAAUCAAUACAACUUUCAACAACGGAUCUCUUGGCUCUC